This 790-nucleotide ribosomal RNA is filed under the name Streptomyces sp. tz15-1. RNAcentral's name for it is "bacterial SSU rRNA". It matches the Rfam family "Bacterial small subunit ribosomal RNA", at positions 56 to 860 of the family's 1533-position model. Lineage: Bacteria; Bacillati; Actinomycetota; Actinomycetes; Kitasatosporales; Streptomycetaceae. The record is from RNAcentral. RNAcentral also lists the same sequence under 1 other name.
UGCAGUCGUACGAUGGUAACCGUUCGGUGGUGGAUUAGUGGCGAACGGGUGAGUAACACGUGGGCAAUCUGCCCUUCACUCUGGGACAAGCCCUGGAAACGGGGUCUAAUACCGGAUAACACUCUGUCCCGCAUGGGACGGGGUUAAAAGCUCCGGCGGUGAAGGAUGAGCCCGCGGCCUAUCAGCUUGUUGGUGGGGUAAUGGCCUACCAAGGCGACGACGGGUAGCCGGCCUGAGAGGGCGACCGGCCACACUGGGACUGAGACACGGCCCAGACUCCUACGGGAGGCAGCAGUGGGGAAUAUUGCACAAUGGGCGAAAGCCUGAUGCAGCGACGCCGCGUGAGGGAUGACGGCCUUCGGGUUGUAAACCUCUUUCAGCAGGGAAGAAGCGAAAGUGACGGUACCUGCAGAAGAAGCGCCGGCUAACUACGUGCCAGCAGCCGCGGUAAUACGUAGGGCGCAAGCGUUGUCCGGAAUUAUUGGGCGUAAAGAGCUCGUAGGCGGCUUGUCACGUCGGAUGUGAAAGCCCGGGGCUUAACCCCGGGUCUGCAUUCGAUACGGGCUAGCUAGAGUGUGGUAGGGGAGAUCGGAAUUCCUGGUGUAGCGGUGAAAUGCGCAGAUAUCAGGAGGAACACCGGUGGCGAAGGCGGAUCUCUGGGCCAUUACUGACGCUGAGGAGCGAAAGCGUGGGGAGCGAACAGGAUUAGAUACCCUGGUAGUCCACGCCGUAAACGUUGGGAACUAGGUGUUGGCGACAUUCCACGUCGUCGGUGCCGCAGCUAACGCAU